This 466-nucleotide ribosomal RNA is filed under the name uncultured bacterium. RNAcentral describes it as "partial 16S ribosomal RNA". It matches the Rfam family "Bacterial small subunit ribosomal RNA", at positions 28 to 507 of the family's 1533-position model. The record is from RNAcentral.
GACGAACGCUGGCGGCGUGCUUAACACAUGCAAGUCGAACGGAAAGGCCCUGCUUGCAGGGUACUCGAGUGGCGAACGGGUGAGUAACACGUGGGUGAUCUGCCCUGCACUUCGGGAUAAGCUUGGGAAACUGGGUCUAAUACCGGAUAGGAACCAUCUUUAGUGUGGUGGUUGGAAAGUUUUUUCGGUGUAGGAUGAGCUCGCGGCCUAUCAGCUUGUUGGUGGGGUAAUGGCCUACCAAGGCGGCGACGGGUAGCCGGCCUGAGAGGGUGUACGGCCACAUUGGGACUGAGAUACGGCCCAGACUCCUACGGGAGGCAGCAGUGGGGAAUAUUGCACAAUGGGCGCGAGCCUGAUGCAGCGAGGCCGCGUGGGGGAUGAAGGCCUUCGGGUUGUAAACUCCUUUCGCUAGGGACGAAGCGUUGUUGUGACGGUACCUAGAUAAGAAGCACCGGCUAACUACGUG